RNAcentral lists this ribosomal RNA (1090 nucleotides) under Shigella sonnei. Its description in RNAcentral is "bacterial SSU rRNA". It matches the Rfam family "Bacterial small subunit ribosomal RNA", at positions 84 to 1170 of the family's 1533-position model. Lineage: Bacteria; Pseudomonadati; Pseudomonadota; Gammaproteobacteria; Enterobacterales; Enterobacteriaceae. The record is from RNAcentral.
UUCGCUGACGAGUGGCGGACGGGUGAGUAAUGUCUGGGAAACUGCCUGAUGGAGGGGGAUAACUACUGGAAACGGUAGCUAAUACCGCAUAACGUCGCAAGACCAAAGAGGGGGACCUUCGGGCCUCUUGCCAUCGGAUGUGCCCAGAUGGGAUUAGCUAGUAGGUGGGGUAACGGCUCACCUAGGCGACGAUCCCUAGCUGGUCUGAGAGGAUGACCAGCCACACUGGAACUGAGACACGGUCCAGACUCCUACGGGAGGCAGCAGUGGGGAAAUAUUGCACAAUGGGCGCAAGCCUGAUGCAGCCAUGCCGCGUGUAUGAAGAAGGCCUUCGGGUUGUAAAGUACUUUCAGCGGGGAGGAAGGGAGUAAAGUUAAUACCUUUGCUCAUUGACGUUACCCGCAGAAGAAGCACCGCCUAACUCCGUGCCAGCAGCCGCGGUAAUACGGAGGGUGCAAGCGUUAAUCGGAAUUACUGGGCGUAAAGCGCACGCAGGCGGUUUGUUAAGUCAGAUGUGAAAUCCCCGGGCUCAACCUGGGAACUGCAUCUGAUACUGGCAAGCUUGAGUCUCGUAGAGGGGGGUAGAAUUCCAGGUGUAGCGGUGAAAUGCGUAGAGAUCUGGAGGAAUAUCGGUGGCGAAGGCGGCCCCCUGGACGAAGACUGACGCUCAGGUGCGAAAGCGUGGGGAGCAAACAGGAUUAGAUACCCUGGUAGUCCACGCCGUAAACGAUGUCGACUUGGAGGUUGUGCCCUUGAGGCGUGGCUUCCGGAGCUAACGCGUUAAGUCGACCGCCUGGGGAGUACGGCCGCAAGGUUAAAACUCAAAUGAAUUGACGGGGGCCCGCACAAGCGGUGGAGCAUGUGGUUUAAUUCGAUGCAACGCGAAGAACCUUACCUGGUCUUGACAUCCACGGAAGUUUUCAGAGAUGAGAAUGUGCCUUCGGGAACCGUGAGACAGGUGCUGCAUGGCUGUCGUCAGCUCGUGUUGUGAAAUGUUGGGUUAAGUCCCGCAACGAGCGCAACCCUUAUCCUUUGUUGCCAGCGGUCCGGCCGGGAACUCAAAGGAGACUGCCAGUGAUAAACUGGAGGA